Non-coding RNA from Saimiri boliviensis boliviensis (Bolivian squirrel monkey), 1668 nucleotides. The record is from RefSeq and is a predicted model, not a curated record. Lineage: Eukaryota; Metazoa; Chordata; Mammalia; Primates; Cebidae.
CUUGCAGGCUUGGAAUCCGUACAUCUUAAAUUCACAGUGCCCGCUGGUAACUAUUCCUUGGGUAAUUAGCACCUAAUAAAACUUUGUGGAACAAAUAUAGUUGUGAGACAGAGUAGCAAAUGUAAGAAGCUGCGUUUUCUCAAUUUGCUGGCCAGCAUAAUUUCAGAAAGCCCCUGACUCUGGUGGUGUGCAGUCUCCGGAGUGAUGCUUUGAAGACACAGCAGGAUAGAGCACGUGGCUCCCACAUCUCUUGCCUGAGUCACCGUAUUCCAGGAAAGCAAGAUCAUGUGCAACUCUAUAAUAUAGUAUUUUCUACAGAAAAAAAAGGAGUUCGUUGGAUAUGACUUGAUCGUGAUCAUUUCAGUGCCUGGACACUCAGCAGAAUGCUAGCCUUCUCUCUAAGAAGGUCCAUGUGGGAUUAGACACAGAUGCCUUAUCUGAGUUCCGACCUGCAGUCUGGCCCACCCAUCUGAAGGAUAACCAGGGAACCAGGGCAUGCUAGCCAUGUCCCAAGAUGGGAGAAGGCAGAGAACCAGUUCUAGGCCUGGCUCUUCUACCAACUGUCUGAGUGAACUAGGGCAAGUCACGGGGCCUCCUGAAGUCUCCUUCCCCAACCUCAGAACAAGUGUGCAUACCACUGAGGGCAAGUGGGGGUGGAGGGUGGACCUAGAAACACACUAGAGCAUCUGUGGUUUGAGGAUUCCUUUAAACUCAUUUAUGCGAUGGGUAAGAAGGAAGGCCCUCUUUCUCUAAACACACUUGCACACCCUUGACCUGUGUCCGAUUCUGGUGUGUCUCACACUGAACAAAGAAGCUUGGUUGCCACGGGCUGCCAGCCAAGACCCUCCCGGGGGAACCUCAGGUCCAAGAGAAGGGAAGCAGCUCUAGGGAAUGGGUGCUCGUUUUUACCCCAGAAAAAUCAAUGACUCUUUCUACGCUUCUGGGUCCUGGCCUGUCAAAUGUAGAAGCCAAGAAAACUCACCUUGCAAUGUUGUCACAGGGUGAACUGAGACAGAAGCACUUUGAGAAGAGGAAACUACCGUCACAAUGUCACUAUUGUUGUCAUUAGCUAACUGGAGUUCAGGAUAUAACAACAACAGAUGGUUUCUGCUUCCUUCUGAGGAGAUUACAAUCUUGGAAGCACAUGCACGAUAUUCACAUGAAAAUAGUUUAAAGGUAACUACUCCUGAAGAACAACAUCAUCCAAAACGUGCCUAAUCUAAGUCUAAUUUUCCUGUAGAGAAUCACAAGACAGAAAGGGAAUAUGUUCUCAGAGUGCGGAAGUCUGUAUUCGUGGCACAUUUGCUUUAAAGAUGCUUCAGAAAAAGUCCUAGCACAAUCUCUUUUAUUAUUUUGCAGUCUUUCUCCUAAAUUAAUGGCACUGUGGCUCACGGCCAGUGACAGGCCUUCUUCAUCUAGCACAUCUAAUGUCCCUUCAUACUACAGUUGCCCCUCGGUAUCCAGGGCUUUCACAUUCUCAGAAUCAACUAACCAUUGGAUGGAAGGUAUUUAAAAAGCAAACAAAAAAAAGAUGGUUUUGUCUGUACUGAACAUGUACAGACUUUUUCUUGCCAUUAUUCCCUAAACCAAACAGUAUAACACCUAUUUACCUAGGAUUUAUAUUGAAUUAGGUAUUAUAAUUAAUUUAGAGGUGAUUAAGUAUGUGGG